This 200-nucleotide ribosomal RNA is filed under the name uncultured prokaryote. RNAcentral describes it as "partial 16S ribosomal RNA". It matches the Rfam family "Bacterial small subunit ribosomal RNA", at positions 1182 to 1382 of the family's 1533-position model. The record is from RNAcentral.
ACGUCAAAUCAUCACGGCCCUUACGUCCUGGGCCACACACGUGCUACAAUGGUAGGUACAAAGGGCAGCUACUUGGCGACAAGAUGCUAAUCUCUAAAACCUAUCUCAGUUCGGAUUGGAGUCUGAAACUCGACUCUAUGAAGCUGGAAUCGCUAGUAAUCGUGGAUCAGAACGCUACGGUGAAUACGUUCCCGGGUCUU